This 372-nucleotide ribosomal RNA is filed under the name uncultured organism. RNAcentral's name for it is "bacterial SSU rRNA". It matches the Rfam family "Bacterial small subunit ribosomal RNA", at positions 526 to 896 of the family's 1533-position model. The record is from RNAcentral.
CAGAGGUCUCAACCGUUGUUCGGAUUCAUUGGGCGUAAAGGGUGCGUAGGCGGUCGCGCAAGUCGGAUGUGAAAUCUCGGGGCUCAACCCCGAAACUGCAUUCGAUACUGCGUGGCUCGAGUACUGGAGAGGAGACUGGAAUUUACGGUGUAGCAGUGAAAUGCGUAGAUAUCGUAAGGAAGACCAGUGGCGAAGGCGAGUCUCUGGACAGUUACUGACGCUGAGGCACGAAGGCCAGGGGAGCAAACGGGAUUAGAUACCCCGGUAGUCCUGGCAGUAAACGGUGCACGUUUGGUGUAGGCGGAUUCGACCCCGCCUGUGCCGGAGCUAACGCGUUAAACGUGCCGCCUGGGAAGUACGGUCGCAAGAUUA